Molecule: unclassified non-coding RNA, 255 nt
Filed under: uncultured Cryptodiaporthe
Lineage: Eukaryota; Fungi; Ascomycota; Sordariomycetes; Diaporthales; Cytosporaceae
Description: partial contains 5.8S ribosomal RNA, internal transcribed spacer 2, and large subunit ribosomal RNA
Rfam family: 5.8S ribosomal RNA (bases 1-52)
Source: RNAcentral
AACGCACAUUGCGCCCGGUGGUAUUCCACCGGGCAUGCCUGUUCGAGCGUCAUUUCAACCCUCAAAGCCCCGGCUUUGGUGUUGGAGGAAUACCUGUAAAAGGGUACCCUCUGAAAUUUAGUGGCGGGCUCGCUAGAAUUUUGAGCGUAGUAAUUUUACCUCGUUUUUAAAAGACUAGUGGGACUUCUAGCCAUAAAACCCCCCAACUUUCUGAAAAUUGACCUCGGAUCAGGUAGGAAUACCCGCUGAACUUAA